GGUUUUGAUGAAGUUUUGGCCGUCGGAUCAUGCAAAAGAUCUCCUAUUCAAAGUCGAAAAUAUCCUCAGCCGUCCGAUCGCUUGAUGGAUCACUUCUGAGCCAUCGGAUCGCGUAAAAAUCUCUCUUAUAAACCGAUAAUGGAUGCUGACCAUCGGAUCUGGGUCGGGAUGAAUGUCAGCCAUUAGAUCACACCCAGAAUCCUUCUCUCACUGUGAGCCACGCUUGUGGACCGUGUGAAGUUUCCUGUGGACCGCACCCUAUUUCUGUGGACCA
RNAcentral lists this long non-coding RNA (274 nucleotides) under Elaeis guineensis (African oil palm). RNAcentral's name for it is "long non-coding RNA (EGUI_LNC001381)". Lineage: Eukaryota; Viridiplantae; Streptophyta; Magnoliopsida; Arecales; Arecaceae. The record is from RNAcentral.